GAUGAACGCUGACAGAAUGCUUAACACAUGCAAGUCUUUGGCGAAGCUGUGCUUGCACCGCCUAGCCAAGGCGGACGGGUGAGUAACGCGUAAGGAACUUGCCCUGCAGUCAGGGAUAACAGACGGAAACGACUGAUAAGACCUGGUAAAGUCAGGCGGACUCAUGUCCAGCCUGAUGAAAAGAGAUGCUGCAGGAGAGCCUUGCGUCCUAUUAGCUUGUUGGUGGGGUAACGGCCCACCAAGGCGAUGAUAGGUAGCCGGCCUGAGAGGGUGGACGGCCACAAGGGGACUGAGAUACGGCCCUUACUCCUAUGGGAGGCAGCAGUGGGGAAUAUUGGACAAUGGGGGCAACCCUGAUCCAGCAAUUCUGUGUGCACGAUGAAGGUUUUCGGAUUGUAAAGUGCUUUCAGCAGGGAAGAAAAAAAUGACGGUACCUGCAGAAGAAGCGACGGCUAAAUACGUG
Molecule: ribosomal RNA, 463 nt
Filed under: uncultured bacterium
Lineage: Bacteria
Description: partial 16S ribosomal RNA
Rfam family: Bacterial small subunit ribosomal RNA
Source: RNAcentral